UGUGAAUCUUGCUAUGUGGAGUUACACCC
RNAcentral lists this non-coding RNA (29 nucleotides) under Rattus norvegicus (Norway rat). The record is from RNAcentral. Lineage: Eukaryota; Metazoa; Chordata; Mammalia; Rodentia; Muridae.